This 503-nucleotide ribosomal RNA is filed under the name uncultured bacterium. Its description in RNAcentral is "partial 16S ribosomal RNA". It matches the Rfam family "Bacterial small subunit ribosomal RNA", at positions 30 to 523 of the family's 1533-position model. The record is from RNAcentral.
AUUGAACGCUGGCGGCAGGCUUAACACAUGCAAGUCGAGCGCGGUGAUGGUGCUUGCACUAUCACUUAGCGGGGGACGGGUGAGUAAUGCUUAGGAAUCUGCCUAUUAGUGGGGGACAACAUUUCGAAAGGCAUGCUAAUACCGCAUACGUCUUACGGGAGAAAGCAGGGGAUCACUGGUGACAUGGCGCUAAUAGAGGAGCCUAAGUCGGAUUAGCUUGUCGGUGGGGUAAAGGCCUAGCAAGGCGACGAUCUGUGGCGGGUCUGAGAGGAUGAUCCGCCACACUGGGACUGAGACACGGCCCAGACUCCUACGGGAGGCAGCAGUGGGGAAUAUUGGACAAUGGGGGGAACCCUGAUCCAGCCAUGCCGCGUGUGUGAAGAAGGCCUUAUGGUUGUAAAGCACUUUAAGCGAGGAGGAGGCUCUUUUGGUUAAUACCCAAGAUGAGUGGACGUUACUCGCAGAAUAAGCACCGGCUAACUCUGUGCCAGCCGCCGCGGUAA